Molecule: ribosomal RNA, 465 nt
Filed under: uncultured bacterium
Lineage: Bacteria
Description: partial 16S ribosomal RNA
Rfam family: Bacterial small subunit ribosomal RNA
Source: RNAcentral
AUGAACGCUGGCGGCGUGCUUAACACAUGCAAGUCGAACGAUGAAGCCCAGCUUGCUGGGUGGAUUAGUGGCGAACGGGUGAGUAACACGUGAGUAACCUGCCCUUAACUCUGGGAUAAGCCUGGGAAACUGGGUCUAAUACCGGAUAGGAGCGUCCACCGCAUGGUGGGUGUUGGAAAGAUUUAUCGGUUUUGGAUGGACUCGCGGCCUAUCAGCUUGUUGGUGAGGUAAUGGCUCACCAAGGCGACGACGGGUAGCCGGCCUGAGAGGGUGACCGGGCACACUGGGACUGAGACACGGCCCAGACUCCUACGGGAGGCAGCAGUGGGGAAUAUUGCACAAUGGGCGCAAGCCUGAUGCAGCGACGCCGCGUGAGGGAUGACGGCCUUCGGGUUGUAAACCUCUUUCAGUAGGGAAGAAGCGAAAGUGACGGUACCUGCAGAAGAAGCACCGGCUAACUACGUG